CUAACACACACACUGCAACCAUGACAUACACUGCCGCCCUCACACACACACUUCACCGCUCACACACACACUGCACCUUUAAUACACACUUCACCCCUAACACAUACCACUGCUCCUAUGCCCUAUAUCCCAGCAGACCCCAGGUAAGUUGUCAUACUGUUCUUAAACGGUUUGACUACUUACUCUGGGAUGGGAUCCUGGCACUACUGGCACCAUAACUACUACACUGUAGCUGUAGUGAUUAUUGUGUCUGGAUUAUUUCUUUAAAUAAUCUACUAGUGCCCUUCCCGAGAUCAGGCUCUGGAUCCGCCACUGGCCAUUUGGCUUAUCCCUCCUGGAACAUCAACCCUCU
Pelobates cultripes (western spadefoot toad) is the source of this 352-nucleotide non-coding RNA. NCBI's taxonomy places the organism in Eukaryota, Metazoa, Chordata, Amphibia, Anura, Pelobatidae. The record is from the annotation of a GenBank genome assembly.